AGUGCUGGGAUUAAAGGCGUGUGCCACCAAUGCCCAGCUUCAUUUUUAUGAAUUCUUCUCUUGUAUCUCAGGGUUUAGUACUUUUCUGUUUCCCCAGUCCCUCUUGGAAAUAGGUAUUAUCUGUCUGAAAAUAGUGGGUUAGUGUAAUUCUUUAAUUUCAUAAGCAGGCAGGGCAAUGUUAGUGAUUUACUGGAGAACUGGACCCAAAUGUGAAUGGAAUUCUCCAUCCUGUCUCUUAGAAUUUCAAAAUGUGAAGGGAGAACUUGAAUCUUGGAGUCUGUUUCCCCAUCCCUGAUAGCAUGAUAAAAUAUUUCUAUAGAUAAGAUUUUGUAAUGACAUUAAGAAUUGAUUACAGAAAUGCAAAUAAACCAUUGUGCAUUCUCUCCACAAGUACUUUCCAAAUAUCUUACAAGUGUGGACACAGCCUGUACCUCAAGAUCCAAAGGCAGAGACAGUGUUAUAAUCCUGCAUCUGGGCGUGUUGGGUGACAAGGACAGAGGGGAACUAAUUAUGCACUCCACCUCAAAAUCACCAGCUCCACCAAGUUUCAGGCUCACGACAAAGCAUUUCCUUAUUUUCACUAGAUAUUUUCCAGUUGACAAAGUGUUUUCUCUUCCAGUGGAGCAGUGUGUCUGUCGUGAAGCUCAGCAGCAUCACCUCCAGGUUUCCUUUGCCAGCCUCUUUCCUGUUCAGACAGGUGGUCAUCUGUCAUGGAUGAAAGUGCUUUGCAAGCAGUUUGUCAAGACAUGCAGAGUUGAACACACCCUGGCCUUCAGGAAAAGGACAUCUCUUUUUACCCACAGAAACCACAGUUCCUAAACCAGCAGGAUUUUCUAGACAUUUUUUUUUCUACCUACUCUCUCCUUUUGCCUUCCUGGGGGAAGGCAGAAGAGCCAGAAAGCUGGUUCCUUCUUCAUUUCUCGGCCUUCGUUUUGGAGAUAGUCUGCCGGAGCCAUCAUCUUGGAGAGCAUCGUGAACAAUAUUAACAAGAGAAAUGCAUCUUGGUAAUGGACAUGAGCUAUUCUCCAAUUGUUCUUGGAGACAUUCACGAUACGAGAGCCAGGAGAGCCAAGAGAGCCAAGACCAAUGCUGGAAACCUAGCAGUUCCCCAGUAAAUAUCGGUAGAAAUGUAAUAGUUAUAUACGUGUGUCUGGAGAAUUUCCAGUGGCCAAGUGAAACCUCCGUGACUCAUGCCAAAGAAACUGAUGGAAUAACAUGUCAUAUUUUUGUUGACAUACUUAUCAAAAGUAAGGAAAAAUUCCUUGCAAGGGGGAAAACUCUAAUGCAUCAUCCAAGAUCAGUUUCUGUUAUCAGCUGUCAUUUUUGUGUGUGUUCGAUCCUAAAUUAAUUUACAAUGAAUAUAAAUCA
This is a long non-coding RNA of Mesocricetus auratus (golden hamster), 1368 nucleotides long. RefSeq lists it as uncharacterized. NCBI's taxonomy places the organism in Eukaryota, Metazoa, Chordata, Mammalia, Rodentia, Cricetidae. The record is from RefSeq and is a predicted model, not a curated record. The transcript is spliced from 3 exons.